This 373-nucleotide ribosomal RNA is filed under the name uncultured bacterium. RNAcentral's name for it is "bacterial SSU rRNA". It matches the Rfam family "Bacterial small subunit ribosomal RNA", at positions 523 to 898 of the family's 1533-position model. The record is from RNAcentral.
AUACGGAGGGUCCGAGCGUUAUCCGGAAUCAUUGGGUUUAAAGGGUCCGUAGGCGGGCCUGUAAGUCAGGGGUGAAAGUUUGUGGCUCAACCAUAAAAUUGCCUUUGAUACUGCAGGUCUUGAGUCAUGGUGGGGUUGCCGGAACAUGUGGUGUAGCGGUGAAAUGCAUAGAUAUCACAUAGAACACCGAUCGCGAAGGCAGGUGACCAACCAUGUACUGACGCUGAUGGACGAAAGCGUGGGUAGCGAACGGGAUUAGAUACCCCGGUAGUCCACGCCGUAAACGAUGGAUACUAGCUGUGGGGACUUCGGUCUCCGUGGCCAAGCGAAAGUGAUAAGUAUCCCACCUGGGGAGUACGUUCGCAAGAAUGAA